Molecule: ribosomal RNA, 465 nt
Filed under: Vreelandella stevensii
Lineage: Bacteria; Pseudomonadati; Pseudomonadota; Gammaproteobacteria; Oceanospirillales; Halomonadaceae
Description: partial 16S ribosomal RNA
Rfam family: Bacterial small subunit ribosomal RNA
Source: RNAcentral
CCUACGGGAGGCAGCAGUGGGGAAUAUUGGACAAUGGGGGCAACCCUGAUCCAGCCAUGCCGCGUGUGUGAAGAAGUCCCUCGGGUUGUAAAGCACUUUCAGUGAGGAAGAACGCCUGGUGGUUAAUACCCAUCAGGAAAGACAUCACUCACAGAAGAAGCACCGGCUAACUCCGUGCCAGCAGCCGCGGUAAUACGGAGGGUGCGAGCGUUAAUCGGAAUUACUGGGCGUAAAGCGCGCGUAGGUGGCUUGAUAAGCCGGUUGUGAAAGCCCCGGGCUCAACCUGGGAACGGCAUCCGGAACUGUCAAGCUAGAGUGCAGGAGAGGAAGGUAGAAUUCCCGGUGUAGCGGUGAAAUGCGUAGAGAUCGGGAGGAAUACCAGUGGCGAAGGCGGCCUUCUGGACUGACACUGACACUGAGGUGCGAAAGCGUGGGUAGCAAACAGGAUUAGAUACCCGAGUAGUC